This 497-nucleotide ribosomal RNA is filed under the name uncultured bacterium. Its description in RNAcentral is "partial 16S ribosomal RNA". It matches the Rfam family "Bacterial small subunit ribosomal RNA", at positions 28 to 507 of the family's 1533-position model. The record is from RNAcentral.
GAUGAACGCUGGCGGCGUGCCUAAUACAUGCAAGUCGAGCGAACAGACGAGGAGCUUGCUCCUCUGACGUUAGCGGCGGACGGGUGAGUAACACGUGGAUAACCUACCUAUAAGACUGGGAUAACUUCGGGAAACCGGAGCUAAUACCGGAUAAUAUAUUGAACCGCAUGGUUCAAUAGUGAAAGACGGUUUUGCUGUCACUUAUAGAUGGAUCCGCGCCGCAUUAGCUAGUUGGUAAGGUAACGGCUUACCAAGGCGACGAUGCGUAGACGACCUGAGAGGGUGAUCGGCUACACGGGAACAGAGACACGGUCCAGACUCCUACGGGAGGCAGCAGUAGGGAAUCUUCCGCAAUGGGCGAAAGCCUGACGGAGCAACGCCGCGUGAGUGAUGAAGGUCUUAGGAUCGUAAAACUCUGUUGUUAGGGAAGAACAAAUGUGUAAGUAACUAUGCACGUCUUGACGGUACCUAAUCAGAAAGCCACGGCUAACUACGUG